Molecule: non-coding RNA, 28 nt
Filed under: Mus musculus (house mouse)
Lineage: Eukaryota; Metazoa; Chordata; Mammalia; Rodentia; Muridae
Source: RNAcentral
UAGAUGGUGUUCUUGAUAGUUCAGAUCC